UGUUAAUUUUGGAAACUUUGUACAGGCUCCAUGUUAAUUUUGGAAACUUUCUACAGGCUCCAUAUUAAUUUUUCAAACAUUGUACAGGUUCCAUGUUAACUUUGGAAACUUUGUACAGGCUCCAUGUUAAUUUUGGAAAAUUUGUACAAGCUCCAUGUUAAUUUUGGAAACUUUGUACAGGCUCCAUAUCAAUUUUUCAAACUUUGUACGGGCUCCAUGUUAAUUUUGGAAACUUUGUACAAGCUCCAUGUUAAUUUUGGAAACUUUGUACAGGCUCCAUAUUAAUUUUAGAAACUUUGUAUAGGCUCCAUGUUAAUUUUGGAAACUUUGUACAGGCUCCAUGUUAAUUUUGGAAAAAUUGUACGGGCUCCAUGUUAAUUUUGGAAACUUUGUACAG
RNAcentral lists this unclassified non-coding RNA (397 nucleotides) under Bombus terrestris (buff-tailed bumblebee). RNAcentral describes it as "misc RNA ENSBTSG00005034929.1". Lineage: Eukaryota; Metazoa; Arthropoda; Insecta; Hymenoptera; Apidae. The record is from RNAcentral.